UGGGGAAUAUUGGACAAUGGGGGCAACCCUGAUCCAGCCAUGCCGCGUGAGUGAUGAAGGCCUUCGGGUUGUAAAGCUCUUUUGGCGGGGACGAUGAUGACGGUACCCGCAGAAUAAGCCCCGGCUAACUUCGUGCCAGCAGCCGCGGUAAGACGAAGGGGGCUAGCGUUGUUCGGAAUUACUGGGCGUAAAGCGAGUGUAGGCGGUUGCCGUAGUCAGGUGUGAAAGCCUUGAGCUCAACUCAAGAAAUGCACUUGAUACUGGGUGACUAGAGGACCGGAGAGGAUAGUGGAAUUCCCAGUGUAGUGGUGAAAUGCGUAGAGAUGUGGAGGAAUACCGAUGGCGAAGGCAGCCCCCUGGGCCAAUACUGACGCUCAUGCACGAAAGCGUGGGGAGCAAACAGGAUUAGAUACCCUGGUAGUCCACGCCCUAAACGAUGUCAACUAGUUGUUGGGGGAAUUCAUUUCCUUAGUAACGUAGCUAACGCGUGAAGUUGACCGCCUGGGGAGUACGGUCGCAAGAUUAAAACUCAAAGGAAUUGACGGGGUCAUAGCUGUUUCCU
This 562-nucleotide ribosomal RNA is filed under the name uncultured bacterium. RNAcentral's name for it is "partial 16S ribosomal RNA". It matches the Rfam family "Bacterial small subunit ribosomal RNA", at positions 355 to 1375 of the family's 1533-position model. The record is from RNAcentral.